UAUCUAUGAAAAGAUCUAUUAUAAGACAUUGGGAUACAUAAAGGUUUAGAAGUUCCAUGAACUGCCAUCUGUAGCUGUAGACUCAGAAAACUGGUGGUGUAGUUUAGUUCCAGAGCCUGAAAACUGGAGAGCUGAUGGGUAGUUUCCAGCAGGAAUUGGAAGGCUUGAGAACCAGGAGCAAUGAGAAGGGAAGAUCAAUUUCUCAGCUCAACACUCAGGCAGAAUGAAUUCACCCUUCCUCUAACUUGUUGUUCUAUUCAGGACCUAUAUCAAUGAGGGCCAUCUGCCUUACUCAGUCAACCAAUUCAAAUGUUAAUGUUCUUCAAGAACAUGCUCACAGACAUGCCAUAAGCAAUCUUUAACCGAAUAUCUAGACAUCCCAUGGCCCAUUCAAGUUGAUUCAUAAAAUCAAAUAUCACAGGAUGUGACUGACUCUUCUUUCCUAGCAUUUAGCUUUAUUCUUUAAUAAAAAAUCUAAACUAGUAAUUAUUUUUGCUUAUUUUGCUUUCUUGGUAGAGAACUCUGAUGGUCAGUUUUAUGUAUCACCUUGAGUAAGCUAUAGUCUAGUAGGUAAUUAUUUUAAUCAAAUGUUAAUCAAAAUAUUACUGUGAAAGUAUUUUGCAGAUGUGUUUAAAGUCCAUAAUUAUCUGACUUUAAAUAAGGAAGAUUAUUGUAGACUGGGUAGGCCUGAUUGAAUCAGGUGAAAGGUCUUAUAAGCAGACCUGAGGCUUGAUUGAAUCAGGUGAAAGGUAUUAAGAAUCGAACUGACGCUUCUCUGAAGAAGACAUUCUACCUGUGAGCAGCUUCUGCUUGUGCCUGAGAAUUUCCAGCUUGUCCUUCCUAAGGAACUGUCCUCUAGAUUUCAGAGUUGCCUUGCCAUUCACCACAAUCAUCUAAAAUUAAGACAGAGGACAGCUCUGGGAAAAGUCAUGCCCUGGAAUCUUCAGUUGGUGCACAGCAGUUUAGAGAGUGGCAUGGGGGAUUCAGGCAGAGACAGUGGCUGAAAUGGAAUCCAUUGCAUCAAAUGGCUUAUGUGCUGACUGAAUUUAAAAUUGGACUUUCUUAUUCUCUGAUUUUUGCUUCAAAGAUGCGUAAAGUGGGAGGCAGGUGUCUUGUAAAUAAAAAAAAUGUGAAUCAGCUACAAAACAUGGAAUGGGGGAGAAUAAAGAGCUUCCACUGUUCAUUAAAAAAUAAGAAGACGAAGAAUAGGAGUUUGUACAACAUUAACAGUCUUGGCAGUUUCCAGAAAUCAGUUUUUGUACAGUGAUACAAAUAUCAAGAUGCUUCUCAAGAUCUAGCUUUCACUAAAUUUUACCAAGAGGGUUGGGAUAACUUCAUCUGAAAAACAACACUAGAAUCUCUAAAAUAUGCUUUUCCCUUUAUGUACCAAGAUUUUUUUUUAAGAAAUAGAAAUAAAAUGUCUAUCUUCCAGAAGAGUCUUUGGAAAAUAAGAUAUAUUUGUAGCAUGAUAGAGGGAAAAAUGUCUACCAUGUGCCCUACGUAUUAUGUCACACCUAAAUAUUUGCAAUACAAGUUCCAUCCAAUAUUUUGAAAACAUAUUGGUUAACUUAAAUGAUUAACACAAACUACAUUAUUUUAAAGAGAAGGAAGGCAGCCAACUUCAGCCUCAGUAGGAUGAGGCAUCAUUCUGUUGCAAGGUAGCAGAUCCGAACAUAUUUUCAGUAUGUAUUAGAGUUUCCUUACUUUGGUUUUUCCAUCAAAAUCAUACACUAAAAUUCGAUAUUCCCC
Long non-coding RNA from Bubalus bubalis (water buffalo), 1749 nucleotides. RefSeq lists it as uncharacterized. The transcript is spliced from 3 exons. The record is from RefSeq and is a predicted model, not a curated record. Lineage: Eukaryota; Metazoa; Chordata; Mammalia; Artiodactyla; Bovidae.